Molecule: ribosomal RNA, 474 nt
Filed under: Shigella flexneri
Lineage: Bacteria; Pseudomonadati; Pseudomonadota; Gammaproteobacteria; Enterobacterales; Enterobacteriaceae
Description: bacterial SSU rRNA
Rfam family: Bacterial small subunit ribosomal RNA
Source: RNAcentral
CCGCAAGGUUAAAACUCAAAUGAAUUGACGGGGGCCCGCACAAGCGGUGGAGCAUGUGGUUUAAUUCGAUGCAACGCGAAGAACCUUACCUGGUCUUGACAUCCACGGAAGUUUUCAGAGAUGAGAAUGUGCCUUCGGGAACCGUGAGACAGGUGCUGCAUGGCUGUCGUCAGCUCGUGUUGUGAAAUGUUGGGUUAAGUCCCGCAACGAGCGCAACCCUUAUCCUUUGUUGCCAGCGGUCCGGCCGGGAACUCAAAGGAGACUGCCAGUGAUAAACUGGAGGAAGGUGGGGAUGACGUCAAGUCAUCAUGGCCCUUACGACCAGGGCUACACACGUGCUACAAUGGCGCAUACAAAGAGAAGCGACCUCGCGAGAGCAAGCGGACCUCAUAAAGUGCGUCGUAGUCCGGAUUGGAGUCUGCAACUCGACUCCAUGAAGUCGGAAUCGCUAGUAAUCGUGGAUCAGAAUGCCAC